RNAcentral lists this transfer RNA (86 nucleotides) under Myxococcota bacterium. RNAcentral's name for it is "tRNA-Leu". It matches the Rfam family "tRNA". Rfam says of the family: Transfer RNA (tRNA) molecules are approximately 80 nucleotides in length. Lineage: Bacteria; Pseudomonadati; Myxococcota. The record is from RNAcentral.
GCACGAGUGGCGGAAUCGGUAUACGCAGCGGACUUAAAAUCCGCGGGCCCGCAAGGGUCGUCCGGGUUCAAGUCCCGGCUCGUGCA